RNAcentral lists this ribosomal RNA (959 nucleotides) under uncultured bacterium. RNAcentral describes it as "bacterial SSU rRNA". It matches the Rfam family "Bacterial small subunit ribosomal RNA", at positions 8 to 916 of the family's 1533-position model. The record is from RNAcentral.
AGAGUUUGAUCCUGGCUCAGGAUGAACGCUGGCGGCGUGCUUGAUACAUGCAAGUCGAACGGUUGAGCGGUGGGCGGAGGACCUGGAAGACGUGGAAUAUGAGAAAUCGUAGGAAGCGUUGGAAGGGGAAGAAGCUCUGAGCUUGGCAGUGGCGGACGGGUGAGUAACACGUAGGAAUCUGCCCCGAGGUGGGGAAUAACUGACCGAAAGGUUAGCUAAUUCCGCAUAAGAUCCGGAAGGAUGAAAGGCUUAGGUCGCCUUGGGAUGAGCCUGCGGCCGAUUAGCUAGUUGGUGGGGUAAUGGCCCACCAAGGCGAUGAUCGGUAGCUGACCUGAGAGGGUUAUCCCCCACACUGGUACUGAGACACGGACCAGACUCCUACGGGAGGCAGCAGUGAGGAAUAUUGGUCAAUGGGGGAAACCCUGACGCAGCGACGCCGCGUGUGGGAAGAAGGCCUUCGGGUCGUAAACCACUGUCAAGAGGGAAGAACCGCAUAGGGUCGAAUAGGCCUUGUGCCUGACGGUACCUCUGGAGGAAGCACCGGCUAACUCCGUGCCAGCAGCCGCGGUAAUACGGAGGAUCCGAGCGUUAUCCGGAUUUAUUGGGUUUAAAGGGUGCGUAGGUGGAUUGAUAAGUCAGUGGUGAAAGUUUGCAGCUUAACUGUAAAAUUGCCGUUGAAACUGUCGGUCUUGAGUGCAAAUGAGGUAGGCGGAAUGUGUUGUGUAGCGGUGAAAUGCUUAGAUAUAACACAGAACUCCGAUUGCGAAGGCAGCUUACUGGGAUGCAACUGACACUGAUGCACGAAAGCGUGGGUAUCAAACAGGAUUAGAUACCCUGGUAGUCCACGCAGUAAACGAUGGAUACUAGCUGUUGGGAGCAAUCUCAGUGGCUAAGCGAAAGUGAUAAGUAUCCCACCUGGGGAGUACGUUCGCAAGGCUGAAACUCAAAGGAAUUGACGG